GAGGGUAUAGCUCAGUGGCAGAGUGUGUGCUUAGCAUGCAUGAGGUCCUGGGUUCAAUCCCCAGUAUCUCCA
This 72-nucleotide transfer RNA is filed under the name Camelus bactrianus (Bactrian camel). It matches the Rfam family "tRNA". From Rfam's summary of the family: Transfer RNA (tRNA) molecules are approximately 80 nucleotides in length. Their secondary structure includes four short double-helical elements and three loops (D, anti-codon, and T loops). Further hydrogen bonds mediate the characteristic L-shaped molecular structure. tRNAs have two regions of fundamental functional importance: the anti-codon, which is responsible for specific mRNA codon recognition, and the 3' end, to which the tRNAs corresponding amino acid is attached (by aminoacyl-tRNA synthetases). tRNAs cope with the degeneracy of the genetic code in two manners: having more than one tRNA (with a specific anti-codon) for a particular amino acid; and 'wobble' base-pairing, i.e. permitting non-standard base-pairing at the 3rd anti-codon position. Lineage: Eukaryota; Metazoa; Chordata; Mammalia; Artiodactyla; Camelidae. The record is from Rfam by way of RNAcentral. RNAcentral also lists the same sequence under 2 other names.